GACGAACGCUGGCGGCGUGCUUAACACAUGCAAGUCGAGCGGAAAGGCCCUUUCGGGGGUACUCGAGCGGCGAACGGGUGAGUAACACGUGAGUAAUCUGCCCUUGGCUUUGGGAUAACCACCGGAAACGGUGGCUAAUACCGGAUAUGACGGGCUCCGGCAUCGGGGUUCGUGGAAAGUUUUUUCGGCCAGGGAUGUGCUCGCGGCCUAUCAGCUUGUUGGUGGGGUAAUGGCCUACCAAGGCUUCGACGGGUAGCCGGCCUGAGAGGGUGACCGGCCACACUGGGACUGAGACACGGCCCAGACUCCUACGGGAGGCAGCAGUGGGGAAUAUUGGACAAUGGGCGGAAGCCUGAUCCAGCAACGCCGCGUGAGGGAUGACGGCCU
This 387-nucleotide ribosomal RNA is filed under the name uncultured bacterium. Its description in RNAcentral is "bacterial SSU rRNA". It matches the Rfam family "Bacterial small subunit ribosomal RNA", at positions 28 to 417 of the family's 1533-position model. The record is from RNAcentral.